AGAGUUUGAUCCUGGCUCAGAUUGAACGCUGGCGGCAGGCCUAACACAUGCAAGUCGAGCGGAUGAAAGGAGCUUGCUCCUGGAUUCAGCGGCGGACGGGUGAGUAAUGCCUAGGAAUCUGCCUGGUAGUGGGGGACAACGUUUCGAAAGGAACGCUAAUACCGCAUACGUCCUACGGGAGAAAGCAGGGGACCUUCGGGCCUUGCGCUAUCAGAUGAGCCUAGGUCGGAUUAGCUAGUUGGUGAGGUAAUGGCUCACCAAGGCGACGAUCCGUAACUGGUCUGAGAGGAUGAUCAGUCACACUGGAACUGAGACACGGUCCAGACUCCUACGGGAGGCAGCAGUGGGGAAUAUUGGACAAUGGGCGAAAGCCUGAUCCAGCCAUGCCGCGUGUGUGAAGAAGGUCUUCGGAUUGUAAAGCACUUUAAGUUGGGAGGAAGGGUUGUAGAUUAAUACUCUGCAAUUUUGACGUUACCGACAGAAUAAGCACCGGCUAACUCUGUGCCAGCAGCCGCGGUAAUACAGAGGGUGCAAGCGUUAAUGGGAAUUAC
This 551-nucleotide ribosomal RNA is filed under the name Pseudomonas koreensis. RNAcentral's name for it is "bacterial SSU rRNA". It matches the Rfam family "Bacterial small subunit ribosomal RNA", at positions 8 to 554 of the family's 1533-position model. The record is from RNAcentral. Lineage: Bacteria; Pseudomonadati; Pseudomonadota; Gammaproteobacteria; Pseudomonadales; Pseudomonadaceae.